AUGCUGGGGACCCUCUGCACUCUCAUCACUGCUCUCACAUGUGUGAGUGGUGUGACGGUGGUGACACAGAAGCCUGUUGUAGCCGUGACGACAGGAGAGACAGUCUCCAUAGACUGUAACCUCGGGACUGUUACUGACAAUUCUGCUCGCUGGUAUAAACAGAUUCCAGGAGGAGUUCCUCAGUAUGUAUUACGUUUUCAUAGCAGCCACAGCUCUCCAACAUAUGGCACUGGUUUCUCAUCUCCAAAGUUCACAUCCACUCAUCAGUCUACUUCAGAUUAUCGUUUGACCAUAAAGAACAUCGAGGAGGGAGACUCAGCCGUCUAUUACUGUAACACAUGGGACGACUCUGUUAAAGAGUGGGUAUCACAGUGAUUUACACUGUGACAAAAACCUCUUCACUGAGUACUUCUGCUUUUUGAGACGCUGACACAUUUUGAGUGAAGCCAUCUGUCAGUUUCUGUAACUUAUAUUUCAUCUUAACAGAUAUUUGAAGUGGUAGUUAUUUAUAUUCAUAAUAUUUGUAUACACACCUAAACAAAAAAUAGAUGAUAAGCUUUCCUUCAAAGAUAAUCUGACAGACAAAGACGGGCUUCAUCAUUUUGAUGUUCUUUACAAAAAAGAUUAACACACCUUUUUGAAACACCAGGAUUAUUAUUGUUACUAUAAGACGUUCCAAGACGACUUGAAGAACAAAUACAACAAAAGAAUAAGAAUAUGUUUUAUAAUGUGAUGCAAGAAACAUAAGGUUGCUUCACAUCAAACUUGAUUAGUGGAAAUUAUACAUUUCUGUGCAUUUAAAACUCCACCAUUUAGUCAAUAAUACAGUAAGUAUGGUAAAUAGUAUUUGCCUCAAAAAUAUGACAGCUUUAAAAACUUUCCCAAACUUGUAUUUUUUCAGACGCCAAUCUUUCAAACUCAAUAUUCAACAAUGUUUAAUGAAUUCCUCAAUGUGACAAUGUCUGACUGCAGCACAUAAAUGAUGAUUCCAUUUAUCUAGAUCUUUUCUGACAGUGCUUUUUAAAACAUUAUACCUUUUGGAAAUAAAAAACGGCCGAUGGUCGUUUGUAAAAAUGUUACUAUGUUAUGGUUCUGGAUUCCUGUGUCACAUUGUGUCACACAAGUUUAGAUGAGUUCAAAGAAUACCAUGAGUAUAAUAUGCUUUUCUGUCAGUGAUAAAGAGACACGAAAUAUGUUGUUUUACAAAAUGCUUUUUAUUCAAAAGGUUUUACUACAUUUUACCGUUUGCAAAGCGGAUACAACACCUCUACCUAAGUGUCAACAACAUGUACUACAAGCGUGGAGACACAUGUUCUAACAUGUAACGCUCGUGAUGAA
Gasterosteus aculeatus aculeatus (three-spined stickleback) is the source of this 1338-nucleotide non-coding RNA. The record is from the annotation of a RefSeq genome assembly. NCBI's taxonomy places the organism in Eukaryota, Metazoa, Chordata, Actinopteri, Perciformes, Gasterosteidae.